This 19-nucleotide small nuclear RNA is filed under the name Arabidopsis thaliana (thale cress). Its description in RNAcentral is "snRNA_17620". The record is from RNAcentral. Lineage: Eukaryota; Viridiplantae; Streptophyta; Magnoliopsida; Brassicales; Brassicaceae.
ACUAACAAGGAUUCCCUUA